GGACUACUCGGGUAUCUAAUCCCGUUCGCUCCCCUGGCUUUCGCGCCUCAGCGUCAGUAGAGAUCCAGCAGCCCGCUUUCGCCACCGGCGUUCCUUCCGAUAUCAACGCAUUUCACCGCUCCACCGGAAGUUCCAGCUGCCCCUACCUCCCUCCAGGCCGCCCGUUUCCGGGGCACUUUUCCGGUUAAGCCGAAAGCUUUCACCCCGGACAAGACGGCCCGCCUACGCGCCCUUUAAGCCCAGUGAUUCCGAACAACGUUCGCACGGUUCGUCUUACCGCGGCUGCUGGCAC
This 292-nucleotide ribosomal RNA is filed under the name uncultured bacterium. RNAcentral's name for it is "partial 16S ribosomal RNA". The record is from RNAcentral. RNAcentral also lists the same sequence under 2 other names.